Molecule: long non-coding RNA, 401 nt
Organism: Sander lucioperca (pikeperch)
Lineage: Eukaryota; Metazoa; Chordata; Actinopteri; Perciformes; Percidae
Exons: 3
Source: RefSeq, a predicted model, not a curated record
GCAGACGUUCGUCUGAAAACGCCAACACAAGUCUGUUCACGCAGCCCUUUACGUCUGAAAGGCCACAAAACGCCAGAAAAAGAGAAAGCAACGGCCUAGUCUCUGGAGUCUAACCCUAACCACACUGGGACCGUUUCACUGCGUUAGCGCCGAGUUUAGAACGGCGAGCGCUGCCUUCUCUGGUUCAGCUAUGAGGACGUAUUUCCUGCAGCUGAUUACUGAAUGUUCAGUUCCUCUGGCUGCCAGGCCGGUGCUGCGUGUCUCUUAGCGCUCUCAGACAUCUCCAGACCACGGCGUUAACGCCAACGACACGCCAACCAGACGGCCGGCCGUCGGCUGACAAGCCAAUCAGGCGGCAGUCGGCUCCCCGAGGUCCAAAAAGUUCCUCAGAACACACCGAA